Long non-coding RNA from Lonchura striata (white-rumped munia), 918 nucleotides. RefSeq lists it as uncharacterized. The record is from RefSeq and is a predicted model, not a curated record. NCBI's taxonomy places the organism in Eukaryota, Metazoa, Chordata, Aves, Passeriformes, Estrildidae.
GGGGCGGCCGCGGGGCUGCCUGGCUGCGGACGGGGAGCGCCGACUUACUUAAAAUUUGUAUCUGAAAAUGCUUUCCUCGUUUGGCCAUAGCCAGCUAUGGUUUGAAGCUUCACUUGGUUGUAACGGAAUAGCCGGGCUGUAUGUCCUUAGCAUGACGUCUCCCCUCUGCCUUUUCCUGCGAGGGAUCGCUCGUAAGCUCAUCCCGUAACUGCAGUUGCCUAAGGCUGCUAAAAGCAGCUCCUUCUCUGAGCUGGCCCGUCUUGGACUGUAGUAAUGCCAACGCACCAAGCAGGACAGUUCGGCCUCUCGAUAUAAGAGAGAGGACUUCUUCCUCUUGAAAAUUUGGCAGCCACUAGCCCAUCCUCUCAAUUUGGUACUUGAGGUUUAAUGUCUGAAGCCUGUGAAGGAAAAAAAAUGGUAGGUCUUCAGUUGCAACAGACAUUCGGUGUAGCUAAUUUGGUGGAAAGUGCAUUUGGAGAAAACUGUUGAGUAUUUCAUGGACAGCAUUUACUGAGAGCAUCUGGACUAUUCCUGACUCCCAAUACAUUGCUACACCCUAUGGAUGUCCAUGAGAAGAAGCACACAAACAUUCUAGAGUCACCCCAGCAAUUGAGAAGUUCUGAAAGCAGUAAGAAACAGCUACUAAGAUUUUGAGCAGCAAAAAUAAUCACCAGAUGUCUAGUAUUCUCAGUCCUCCUACAUGUUAUGCUUUCAUGACAUACUAGUGUUUGUCACUACUGACUACUUUGAGAUUUAUGUGUAAUUUUUUUUUAUUGUUUCUGCGUAUCAGUGGAUCUUAUCCCAUGGUAUUUAUUAAUUUAGAGAAUGGAUGCAUGCUUUGUGACUGGACUUGGAAAGUAAACCUUUUUUCUAUAUUGAUGGUCAUAUCCAAUCAAUAAAACAAUAAGAACCAUUGCA